This 437-nucleotide ribosomal RNA is filed under the name uncultured Oscillibacter sp. Its description in RNAcentral is "bacterial SSU rRNA". It matches the Rfam family "Bacterial small subunit ribosomal RNA", at positions 341 to 792 of the family's 1533-position model. The record is from RNAcentral. Lineage: Bacteria; Bacillati; Bacillota; Clostridia; Eubacteriales; Oscillospiraceae.
ACGGAAGGCAGCAGUGGGGAAUAUUGGGCAAUGGGCGAAAGCCUGACCCAGCAACGCCGCGUGAAGGAAGAAGGUCUUCGGAUUGUAAACUUCUUUUAUGAGGGACGAAGGACGUGACGGUACCUCAUGAAUAAGCCACGGCUAACUACGUGCCAGCAGCCGCGGUAAUACGUAGGUGGCAAGCGUUAUCCGGAUUUACUGGGUGUAAAGGGCGUGUAGGCGGAGAUGCAAGUCAGAAGUGAAAUCUAGGGGCUCAACCCCUAAACUGCUUUUGAAACUGUAUCCCUUGAGUAUCGGAGAGGCAGGCGGAAUUCCCAGUGUAGCGGUGAAAUGCGUAGAUAUACGGAGGAACACCAGUGGCGAAGGCGGCCUGCUGGACAGCAACUGACGCUAAGGCGCGAAAGCGUGGGGAGCAAACAGGAUUAGAUACCCUGGUA